GCAGCAGCCGCGGUAAUACAGAGGGUGCGAGCGUUAAUCGGAUUUACUGGGCGUAAAGCGUGCGUAGGCGGCUUCUUAAGUCGGAUGUGAAAUCCCUGAGCUUAACUUAGGAAUUGCAUUCGAUACUGGGAAGCUAGAGUAUGGGAGAGGAUGGUAGAAUUCCAGGUGUAGCGGUGAAAUGCGUAGAGAUCUGGAGGAAUACCGAUGGCGAAGGCAGCCAUCUGGCCUAAUACUGACGCUGAGGUACGAAAGCAUGGGGAGCAAACAGGAUUAGAGACCCCUGUAGUCCCUGUCUCUUAUAC
RNAcentral lists this ribosomal RNA (302 nucleotides) under uncultured bacterium. Its description in RNAcentral is "partial 16S ribosomal RNA". It matches the Rfam family "Bacterial small subunit ribosomal RNA", at positions 508 to 807 of the family's 1533-position model. The record is from RNAcentral.